RNAcentral lists this ribosomal RNA (253 nucleotides) under uncultured bacterium. RNAcentral describes it as "partial 16S ribosomal RNA". It matches the Rfam family "Bacterial small subunit ribosomal RNA", at positions 524 to 776 of the family's 1533-position model. The record is from RNAcentral.
UACGUAGGGUGCAAGCGUUAAUCGGAAUUACUGGGCGUAAAGCGUGCGUAGGUGGUUCGUUAAGUCUGUCGUGAAAGCCCCGGGCUUAACCUGGGAAUGGCAUUUGGGACUGCAAGGCUCGAGUGCGGCAGAGGAGACUGGAAUUCCUGGUGUAGCAGUGAAAUGCGUAGAUAUCAGGAGGAACAGCGAUGGCGAAGGCAGGUCUCUGGGCUGACACUGACGCUCAUGCACGAAAGCGUGGGGAGCAAACAGG